UACGGGGGGAGCAAGCGUUGUUCGGAUUUACUGGGCGUAAAGGGCGCGUAGGCGGUCGUGACAAGUCACUUGUGAAAUCUCCGGGCUUAACUCGGAACGGUCAAGUGAUACUGUCGUGCUAGAGUGCAGAAGGGGCAACUGGAAUUCUCGGUGUAGCGGUGAAAUGCGUAGAUAUCGAGAGGAACACCUGCGGCGAAGGCGGGUUGCUGGGCUGAUACUGACGCUGAGGCGCGAAAGCCAGGGAGCGAACGGG
RNAcentral lists this ribosomal RNA (253 nucleotides) under uncultured bacterium. Its description in RNAcentral is "partial 16S ribosomal RNA". It matches the Rfam family "Bacterial small subunit ribosomal RNA", at positions 524 to 776 of the family's 1533-position model. The record is from RNAcentral.